RNAcentral lists this ribosomal RNA (381 nucleotides) under uncultured bacterium. Its description in RNAcentral is "bacterial SSU rRNA". It matches the Rfam family "Bacterial small subunit ribosomal RNA", at positions 29 to 402 of the family's 1533-position model. The record is from RNAcentral.
AACGAACGCUGGCGGCGCGCCUAAUACAUGCAAGUCGAGCGAGAAGGUGUAGCAAUACACUUGUAAAGCGGCGAACGGGUGAGGAAUGCAUGGGUAACCUACCCUCGAGUGGGGAAUAACUAGCCGAAAGGUUAGCUAAUACCGCAUACGUUUCCGGAACUUCGGUUUCGGAAAGAAAGCAAUACCGUGGGUAUUGCGCUCCUGGAUGGGCUCAUGUCCUAUCAGCUUGUUGGUGAGGUAACGGCUCACCAAGGCUUCGACGGGUAGCUGGUCUGAGAGGACGAUCAGCCACACUGGCACUGCGACACGGGCCAGACUCCUACGGGAGCAGCAGUAAGGAUAUUGCGCAAUGGACGAAAGUCUGACGCAGCGACGCCGCGU